This 1996-nucleotide long non-coding RNA is filed under the name Marmota monax (woodchuck). Lineage: Eukaryota; Metazoa; Chordata; Mammalia; Rodentia; Sciuridae. The record is from RNAcentral.
GCCAAGACUGCCUGCCUUAGCCUGGUAAGCUGAGUUCUCAUUUCACUGACUUUCUGUAUUUUUCUUCUCCCUUAAUCUCUCUCAUUUUGUCUCAUGGCUCAAGAAGGGACAAGUUGCUGCCUUUUCCCUUUAUUUUAGGAAGUUUGUGUGACAGCUGUAGCAGCUGCUGCUGCUGGAUUCUGUUUGAACACAUUCCAGCAAUUCGCCCGCUGUAUGAUCCUUCAAAGUGACACUGGUUUCAUCAGUCUGGCGAUGGCAUAUCUGUUUCAGAACCAGGGGCAGGGAGAGUGGCUGGCGAUCAUUUGCUCAUUAACAUUGAUUAUAGCAAUCACUGUCCCCAGGCAGGGAGAGCAGCUCGUGGCAUAUCAAUGGCUGAGCAGGGUGGGGACAUCUCCUUUCUUUCAGGGGCAGCUUUGGACAGAACAAGCUGUAUUUUGUUUGCAUAUUCAGGGCCCCCAAAUGUCUAACCUGAGUUUACUCUGGUUAAAGGAAAUUCAAAAAUCACCCAAAUAAAUCAGGGGUAACUAUUCACAAUCAAAAGGAUUCUUUCCUCUGCACAAGGCUCUUCACUGAGCUCUCUUAUUGCCAGACCUCAUGGGGCAGUUGGGAGUUUGUUUAUUGAGCUGAAUGUGACCAAGGGGAAGGAGGGAGGUCAGGGGCUGCCUGCAUCUUCCGGCCCCUCCCAGCUAGAGUCACGGGUGCCUCCAGCUGUGGGCUGGACCCCAGCCAGAGCCUGGAGCCAUCCUGAGCAGCAGCUCAGCUCACCCUGUCCUUUGGGCGCUCUGAGCUGACCCACCACUCCUUCCAGGCUUUAUUAACCCUUCCAUUCACUCACCCCUUUCCUGGCAUCCAGUGUACCCACCAAGCUUAGUGCGAAGCACAGGGGCUACAUGUAGACAAAUCAUGUAGACAGAUCACUCACCCUAUGGUGCCUUCUGCCAGUGGGCAAGUGGACCAGGAGAAGUGAUAUCAAGUGACCACAUGCUUAGGGAACAUAGCCAGGGGGCUCAGGCAGCUGGGAGAGACAAGAGCUCACAGAAACCCUGAGGGGUCUCAUUUCUACUAAGACUUGAGAGGUGAGCAGGUGGCCAGGUGAAGACGUGAGGAAAGAAGGCACGGCAGAAACAAAUCCCACAGAGGCUGAAGCACAGGAGGAGGGAAGUUGAGUGAAGUGAGAGUGUUAACCAACCUUGCCUCCUCAAACCUUCAGAACACCCCUGGGGGAAGUCCCACUAUUUUGACCGUCCCAGCAUACAAAUGGCAAAACUGAGGCAUAGAGCAGUCAACUAGCCUGCCCAAGAUCACAUAUCUAAAGAGCAAUGGGUGCACCCCAGCCAUCUGGCUCCCAAGUCUGCCGACAUGCAGGGUUGCAGCUGAACGACACAGAAGGGUUUGAGCAGCAAAGAAACAUGGGGGUUUUAACAAGGGCUCCCCUGCAGAAGGGGCUGGUGGGCAGAGCAGCCAGCAUCUGCAUGUGCUAAAAGCACGUAGAAGAGGUUCCUCCUCUAGCCCUCUGUACCUCAUUCCCUGGGUGGUCUGCAUUUCCACAUUUCAUCCAGAGUCACAUUCUUUGGACAGGGCCAAACCCCACUCCAGCACAAGGAGGAGCUCUGGAGCUUCCUCCCCUUCCGCAGGCGCUCUUGGGGCAGCGAGAAGGAUGGACACGCAGACUUCCUCCACCUCUGCUGCACUCCUGUCUUCUAUAGAGGUCCCCUUCACUCUGAAGCCAUCUGAUGCCUGAAAUCUCUGCAGUGGCCCCAGCCCACACUCAAGUCUCCCUUCUCUCAACUCCCAUAGCACUUAUUGUGAGAAGCACACAAUCAACUCCUGUGUGCAUUGUUCUCUAGCUGUUUUGUAUUCAUUCAUCCAUUUGACUAUCCUGAAUUGUCUGGAGAUGAGUCAUAAUUUGGAAGAUGGUUGAAGGUUUAUUGCGUUAUAUGCCAAACUUAAAAAAAAAAACCUCCACACUCAGGACAUUAAAAAUACAUCUUUCUUG